This is a long non-coding RNA of Homo sapiens (human), 1794 nucleotides long. Ensembl annotates it as long intergenic non-protein coding RNA 1206. The record is from Ensembl. NCBI's taxonomy places the organism in Eukaryota, Metazoa, Chordata, Mammalia, Primates, Hominidae.
AGACCUUGACAGUUGUAACCGAUAGACUGGGCUGGGGCAACGCUGAUGAAAGGCAAAUUCCUGAGAGAAAAAUCACCCAGAUUUUUCAGUGCCUUCUCUAGCUUUCUAGAAGUUGUUAUGAGUGGACCUGACUACCUAGAGAGAGUAAUACAGAAGCUCCGUGCCGAUCACAGCUACCUCAUUACCAUGUUCCUCCAAGAUGGCCGCCCCUGAGGAGAAUCAUCAACUGGGCUUUACGGAAGAGAGAAAUCCAAACGACCAUCAGCAACAAAUGAAAGACUGAAGUUGAAAGGCAAGUCUUCAGAUUUGAAUUUCAAGAUUGUCAAGAAUGACGAGUUGGACUUGGUCUAGUUACUUCCACAGCAGCAGGAGGAACAUGUGUGUGACUCAGGAUAACUGGGGAAGCCUUGGCUAGGCUUUCCUCAUGUCAACCUACCACUCAAAGGGAGAAAACCUCCUGAUCAGAGGUGCCCAGAACCCAGGAAAUCCAUAAUUUUUGAAUGCUGGCCGAGGUCUGUGACCUCUGACUGAAUGGUUUCCAAGCUCCGAAUUCCUAGGUGAUGUUUUCAUUUGUUCACACUUGCUGAAGAAGGGAAAGGCUCUCUGAUUUACGUGUAAGCAAAACAAUCUAAACAGUAGGAUAAAAUCAUGUUGGAAUGGAGUUCUGUGUGGAUGCUCCUUUGAACCAAAUCAGUUCCACAACUGACCCUGUCAGGGACAUAUAAAUUUAGCAUUUUGGUGUGGAUACAGAAGACGAGAUUAACACAGAUCAAGUAACAUGGAAAUAAAAAAGGAGACAAUGCUGGAUGAUACAGGGGCAGCCAACAAGAGGAGAAAACCCAAGCAUUGGCAAAUGCCUCAUUAUCCAAAGAACACUGAGGUGUGGAGCAAAACUGUGUUGAAUGAACUGUAGAUGGAAAUUCUCUCCUUCCCACCGAGGAGCCGCUGCAGGUUGCAGACUCCCAGAAUGCCACACUGAGAAGAGGAGGGCUAAAAUUCUAGAGCAGAAUCCCUGGGGCAGCCCCUGCUGAAGAAGGGUGCAUCUGUUGAGAAUCUCAUCACCGCCCCCACCCCGCCCAGCCUUCAAUUUAGAGGAAUUUCUAGUUCACGCAGAAUGAAGACAAGAUCACAUAAGUGAGGACGACGCCCCAUUUACAAGUGUGAUUUGGAAGACUGAAGUGGAAACCUUGGGAAGGGGCCUCAGAGUAUGUCAGCUGGGGUCAGACGGGAACAGGAGUCUGGCUCAACACACAUUUAUUGCACUCCUGUUUCAUGCCAAGAAAUGUACCAAAAUCUGGGACUGUGUAACACAGCAAAGGAAAAGACUCAUCUCCAGGAAGCCCCCUUGUCUAGGAAGAGAAAUUGAAUAUCAGCAUAAGGUGGUGAAAAGCUGUGAAGGAGAUGAGUGCCAGGAGUCCAUGGAGGAAGGAUUCUAGCCUGGACAGGUGAUUGUGGUGAAUAGUCAUGAGAAUCUGGGAACUGGCUCCUGCUCUGUCUAUCUUGGAGAUGCAUCUUUUGUGAGAAGCCAGGGCAAGAAUAGGGAGGCUUAGGCAAUGGGAAGUUUCUGAGUAGAUAAAGCAGAUGGCAGAGCAAAGGGACAGAGCCUGGCGAGAGGCUACUCCCUGUAGCAACCUGCCUAAGAGUGAGAGGAAAGCAAGGCAUGGCUAUGAGCACGUGUAGUCUCAGCUACUUGGGAAGCUGAGGCUGGGGGAUCACUUGAGCCCAGGAGUUCAAGACCAGCCUAGGCAACAUAGUGAGACCAUGUCUCUUUAAAAAAAAAAAAAAAAAGAAAAA